UAUUCGGAAAAGGACCUCUGUGUCUCGAUGUCUCUAGCUUUGCAUAUAUCUUUGCUCAUUGCAACUCACGUUACUCUACACUGUGCGUGUUGAAAUGCGCAAAAAGGGAAGAAAAGAAGCAAGCGA
Caenorhabditis elegans is the source of this 126-nucleotide non-coding RNA. NCBI's taxonomy places the organism in Eukaryota, Metazoa, Nematoda, Chromadorea, Rhabditida, Rhabditidae. The record is from Ensembl.